Molecule: long non-coding RNA, 1085 nt
Filed under: Triticum aestivum (bread wheat)
Lineage: Eukaryota; Viridiplantae; Streptophyta; Magnoliopsida; Poales; Poaceae
Description: long non-coding RNA (TAES_LNC009817)
Source: RNAcentral
UACAGGGUUCACAUUAGAUUAUUGUACUAUUCAAGAGGAACAACUCCAAAACACAUGGAUGAAGGUGGAUUCAUGAAUUUAAACAAGGCAAUGCUUCAACCAAUGAAUGUACAAGCAACACACAUUUGUGAUUAUGAUCAGUUGGGCCUACAGAAAGAUUGUGUUUUUGCUUGCCAAAGCUAUUGCUUGGUUCAAUUAAUGACGAAACCCGAAAAAACGAGAAUGUUUCCCUAAAAAUAAACAAAUCCUUUCAGACUAAAUUCCUUGUGGAUGAUUUCAUGAGCUUCUUGAGUUACCUAAUGUACAGUCAUGUGCAGUGAAGGCCCAAACAACCCAUUGCCAGGUCCUUGUUGUUGUCUGUGCUGUCAUAAAACUCCUGUAAGGCUCUUUUUUUUUUUUUUGAAACGGAGGCAUAAGCUUUGCCUCAUCCAUUAAUUAAGAAGGAGAAUAGAGUUUGUUUGUUACACCACACAUAUUACAUGAGGUCCAUUACUCUCCCGGCAUUAUGCUACCCAAUUUGUGUGCACCCGCAGUAACCCAAAGUCUAGCUUCUCUUUUGAUGGUGUCGAAGAUGACCGGCGCAGGUGUUGACUUGUGCCUGAAUAUACGAGCGUUUCUCUCAUUCCAAAUGGUCCACCCAACUAGCAUAGUGAGGGAUGCCAUGGCCUUUCUAUUGGGGAUGUUGCUUCCAGACAUGUUUCUCCACCAAAGCGAGAGAGAGUGCAAAUUGUCCCAAGUUGACAUGUCAAUCAUAUGGAGACCAAGCCAAUUUUUGAUGAGGUUCCAAAUCCUAAGGGUGAAGCGACACUUGUAGAAAAGAUGGGCUCCAUUUUCUUGCACACGCUGGCAAAGCGGACACAGUCCACAAUUUUGCCAACCCCUCCUAGCGAGUCUGUCAGCCGUCCAAAUCAUAUUACGGGUUGCAAGCCAAGCAAAGAAUUUCACCUUCGGCGGAGCCCAAGCGCCCCAAAUGUAGCAGUGGAAGGUGGUGCCCAUAGAUCCAAUGAAUUGUAACUCCUGUAAGGCUGGAACACAUGAAGAAAAAGAGCCAUCCUGAACACCAGAUGCAGCAUUAUUUUUAUCAG